UGGGGGAUAUUGCACAAUGGGCGAAAGCCUGAUGCAGCGACGCCGCGUGGGGGAUGAAGGCUUUCGGGUUGUAAACCUCUUUCGCUAUCGAACAAGGCCCGCUUAGGGUGGGUUGAGGGUAGGUGGAGAAAAAGCGCCGGCUAACUACGUGCCAGCAGCCGCGGUAAUACGUAGGGCGCGAGCGUUGUCCGGAAUUAUUGGGCGUAAAGGGCUUGUAGGCGGCUUGUUGCGCCUGCUGUGAAAACGCGGGGCUUAACUUCGCGCGUGCAGUGGGUACGGGCAGGCUUGAGUGUGGUAGGGGUGACUGGAAUUCCAGGUGUAGCGGUGGAAUGCGCAGAUAUCUGGAGGAACACCGAUGGCGAAGGCAGGUCACUGGGCCAUUACUGACGCUGAGGAGCGAAAGCAUGGGUAGCGAACAGG
This 420-nucleotide ribosomal RNA is filed under the name bacterium. RNAcentral describes it as "partial 16S ribosomal RNA". It matches the Rfam family "Bacterial small subunit ribosomal RNA", at positions 355 to 776 of the family's 1533-position model. The record is from RNAcentral.